GACGAACGCUGGCGGCGUGGAUUAGGCAUGCAAGUCGAACGGUAUCAUCCUUUCGGGGGUGAGAGAGUGGCGAACUGGUGAGUAACACGUAGGUUAUCUACCCUCAAGACGGGGACAACCCAGGGAAACUUGGGCUAAUACCGGAUGAAAGCAGCAGUGAUGUUGUUUGAAAGGUGGCGUAAGCUGCCGUUUGGGGAUGAGCCUGCGCUCUAUUAGUUAGUUGGCGGGGUAAAGGCCCACCAAGGCGAUGAUAGAUAGGCGGCCUUAACGGGUGGUCGCCCACACUGGGAUUGAGAUACGGCCCAGACUCCUACGGGAGGCAGCAGUCGAGAAUAGUCUACAAUGGCCGAAAGGCUGAUAGUGCGACGCCGCGUGAACGAAGAAGCCCUUCGGGGUGUAAAGUUCUUUUAUAUGUGAGCAGUGCUUUCUAUGUGAACAGCAUGGGGAGAGAGAUAUUAGCAUAUGAAUAAGCAACGGCUAACUCCGUGCCAGCAGCCG
This 498-nucleotide ribosomal RNA is filed under the name uncultured bacterium. RNAcentral describes it as "bacterial SSU rRNA". It matches the Rfam family "Bacterial small subunit ribosomal RNA", at positions 28 to 517 of the family's 1533-position model. The record is from RNAcentral.